CUCCCCGUAGUUCAAUGGAUAGAACAAAUCCGUCCUAAGGAUAAAAUGGGAGUUCGAUUCUCUCCGGGGAGA
This 72-nucleotide transfer RNA is filed under the name bacterium. Its description in RNAcentral is "tRNA-Arg". It matches the Rfam family "tRNA". Rfam says of the family: Transfer RNA (tRNA) molecules are approximately 80 nucleotides in length. Their secondary structure includes four short double-helical elements and three loops (D, anti-codon, and T loops). Further hydrogen bonds mediate the characteristic L-shaped molecular structure. tRNAs have two regions of fundamental functional importance: the anti-codon, which is responsible for specific mRNA codon recognition, and the 3' end, to which the tRNAs corresponding amino acid is attached (by aminoacyl-tRNA synthetases). tRNAs cope with the degeneracy of the genetic code in two manners: having more than one tRNA (with a specific anti-codon) for a particular amino acid; and 'wobble' base-pairing, i.e. permitting non-standard base-pairing at the 3rd anti-codon position. The record is from RNAcentral.